CACUGGAUUUCUUGGCUGACUCUGU
This 25-nucleotide non-coding RNA is filed under the name Cricetulus griseus (Chinese hamster). Lineage: Eukaryota; Metazoa; Chordata; Mammalia; Rodentia; Cricetidae. The record is from RNAcentral.